This 447-nucleotide ribosomal RNA is filed under the name uncultured bacterium. RNAcentral's name for it is "bacterial SSU rRNA". It matches the Rfam family "Bacterial small subunit ribosomal RNA", at positions 329 to 793 of the family's 1533-position model. The record is from RNAcentral.
CGCCAGACUCCUACGGGAGGCAGCAGUGGGGAAUAUUGCACAAUGGGGGAAACCCUGAUGCAGCAACGCCGCGUGAGUGAAGAAGUCAUUCGUGAUGUAAAGCUCUAUCAGCAGGGAAGAAAAUGACGGUACCUGAGUAAGAAGCCCCGGCUAACUACGUGCCAGCAGCCGCGGUAAUACGUAGGGGGCGAGCGUUAUCCGGAUUCACUGGGUGUAAAGGGAGCGUAGACGGCCAAGCAAGCCAGGGGUGAAAGCCCGGGGCCCAACCCCGGGACUGCCCUUGGAACUGCAUGGCUGGAGUGCGGGAGGGGCAGGCGGAAUUCCUGGUGUAGCGGUGAAAUGCGUAGAUAUCAGGAGGAACACCGGCGGCGAAGGCGGCCUGCUGGACUGCGACUGACGUUGAGGCCCGAAAGCGUGGGGAGCAAACAGGAUUAGAUACCCCGGUAU